This 441-nucleotide ribosomal RNA is filed under the name Vreelandella gomseomensis. RNAcentral describes it as "bacterial SSU rRNA". It matches the Rfam family "Bacterial small subunit ribosomal RNA", at positions 24 to 467 of the family's 1533-position model. Lineage: Bacteria; Pseudomonadati; Pseudomonadota; Gammaproteobacteria; Oceanospirillales; Halomonadaceae. The record is from RNAcentral.
UCAGAUUGAACGCUGGCGGCAGGCCUAACACAUGCAAGUCGAGCGGUAACAGGGGUAGCUUGCUACCCGCUGACGAGCGGCGGACGGGUGAGUAACGCAUAGGAAUUUACCCGGUAGUGGGGGAUAACCUGGGGAAACCCAGGCUAAUACCGCAUACGUCCUACGGGAGAAAGGGGGCUUUGGCUCCCGCUAUCGGAUGAGCCUAUGCCGGAUUAGCUGGUUGGUGAGGUAAUGGCUCACCAAGGCGACGAUCCGUAGCUGGUCUGAGAGGAUGAUCAGCCACAUCGGGACUGAGACACGGCCCGAACUCCUACGGGAGGCAGCAGUGGGGAAUAUUGGACAAUGGGGGCAACCCUGAUCCAGCCAUGCCGCGUGUGUGAAGAAGGCCCUCGGGUUGUAAAGCACUUUCAGCGAGGAAGAACGCCUGUCGGUUAAUACCCG